CUGAGGGGCUGUCAGUGGAAUGUUGGGGCUCUGAAGGUUCUGUGGCAGUUGGGGAUGGCUGAGGGGCUGUCAGUGGAAUGUUGGGGCUCUGAAGGUUCUGUGGCAGUUGGGGGUGGCUGAGGGGCUGUCAGUGGAAUGUUGGGGCUCUGAAGGUUCUGUGGCAGUUGGGGGUGGCUGAGGGGCUGUCAGUGGAAUGUUGGGGCUCUGAAGGUUCCGUGG
Gopherus flavomarginatus (Mexican gopher tortoise) is the source of this 219-nucleotide long non-coding RNA. RefSeq lists it as uncharacterized. The transcript is spliced from 3 exons. Lineage: Eukaryota; Metazoa; Chordata; Testudines; Testudinidae. The record is from RefSeq and is a predicted model, not a curated record.